UUUUAUUUUUAUUAGGGGCAAAAUUGGAAAUCAUGGCUGAUUCCGAUUCCAACCUCUUGAUGAACCAAACAGCAUCAAUAGGAAUCUGAUUCCGAUUCCUGUUUGAACCAAACAGGUGCUACAGUCAUGACUUUAUACAAGGGUGUUAAGGGUGUUGUUGUAAUUUCACUUUUUUCGCCACAUUCUACCAAUUCUACCAAACCAGUGGCAUCAUUAGAAAAGGAUUGGAUGAAAGGCUCCCUUCUACUUAUUGUUUCCGGUUUUUCACAAGCAGCCUUCUAUAUAUUACAGGCUGCAACAAUUAAGAAAUAUUCAGCUCCAAUCUUGCUUACAUCAAUGAUAUGCUUAAUGGGAACAAUACAAGCAGUAGUAGUAACAGUGAUUUUAGAUCGUAAAGCUUCAUCAUGAAGGUUGAGUUGGGAUAUUAAGUUGCUGGCCCCUAUUUAUUGUGUAAGAUUCUUUUGCUUUAUGUAGUUUUAUUUUCAGGUUUCAAUUUGUAGGUAUGAAUUAGAAAAGGAUAUACCUUGGCUGGCUUCUUGAAAGAAAUAAGUCUUAGAAGCACUUAUUUGA
Long non-coding RNA from Nelumbo nucifera (sacred lotus), 570 nucleotides. RefSeq lists it as uncharacterized. The record is from RefSeq and is a predicted model, not a curated record. Lineage: Eukaryota; Viridiplantae; Streptophyta; Magnoliopsida; Proteales; Nelumbonaceae.